RNAcentral lists this long non-coding RNA (326 nucleotides) under Vigna radiata. RNAcentral's name for it is "long non-coding RNA (VRAD_LNC007376)". The record is from RNAcentral. Lineage: Eukaryota; Viridiplantae; Streptophyta; Magnoliopsida; Fabales; Fabaceae.
GAUGACGAUUGCGUGUACACGGCGUACGUUAGAACCGGAUCGGUGCUUAAGGGCGGAACCGACUCCAAGAUCGGGAUCAAGUUGUACGACAAGUACGGCUACUACAUCUACAUUAAAAACCUCGAAGCGUGGGGCGGUUUGAUGGGAAAGGGUUACAACUACUUCGAGCGCGGCAACCUCGACAUCUUCAGCGGAAAGGCACCUUGUCUUGACGGACCCGUUUGUGCCGUCAACGUUACUUCUGACGGAUCCGGUUCGCACCACGGCUGGUACCUUAACUACGUCGAAGUCACCUCCACUGGGCCCCACAUACCCUGUUCUCAGGA